UGUCAUUUUUCAAUCAGAUCAAUCCCUUAAUAGUUUUAAUUUGCAUGACUAAAAAACAUCUAGCAAAAUAAAAAACUUCUCUGUAGCAGUUAUUUUCUAGAGAAAAGAGCGAAGGGGAAAAGCGUGGUUUGUUGCAGAGAAUUUUGCUUUCCUCCUCCCAUGGUGCUGUGUGUUUUUGCUUUCAGUAAAUUAGUUUUCCUCUCUUCGGGCGUCGUGGGCACCUCCGAGGAUGUAGUUUUUUUCUCAUCGUGAUUUGGGAUGGAGAAGUUGUUUUAAUGUUUUGUCUGAGGUUUUUCUUCAUGUUCGGUGAAAUCAGAUGUUGAAUUUGUGAAAUCCGAUGUUGUAUCAGAGCCGAUCGGUGAAUCAGAGGUUGUGGUUGUAGAAUCAGAGUAUUAUAUGAUGUGGCUGUCCAAGUCCUCUCCAUGGUUGCUGAGUUCACCCACACCGAACCCAGAUGAGCGAGGUUUCCAAGGGAUCAGGCGGCUAGCUUGGGUGAUCUCCGGGUUUGCAGGAAUUCCAAGGAUCUUGUAGCGACGACGGCAACGGCAUUCUGAUGGGCCGGUGGUUUGGUUAACAAGCGGUUUCUUCCUUCGGUAACUACUCUUUUGCACAAUGAGGUGCUAAAACCGCCCGACAUAUCUGGUAAUGGGUCUAUAAUGGGUGCUCCGAAAACGCCGAGAAAUACGGGGAUGUGGGGGAAUGAUUUUUGGCCCCUUCCUUGGUUUUCGCCAGCCAAUGAAGUUAAAGCUGUUCUGUUUAUUUGUUUUUGUCUAUUGUAAUAGUCUACUUUGGCAGUCUGCGUUAUUUUUUAAGAUCAAAACAUGGUCAGUAAAAGCUAGUGUAUAGCACAGAAUGUAUGACCCCUCCUCGAUCUUGUAGAGACUUAUGUAUACGUGGAGACAUCUUCUGUUGGCUAGGUUAUUUUGUAGUAGUUGUGGUAUGUUAUGGUGGUCUAAGUUUGACCUUGCCUGGGUGGAGGACACUUUAACCCUGUGCCUCUGACUUAGUUUAUUAUGGAUUCUUUGUAAUCCUGGACAUUAGACAGAUUUGGUCU
Molecule: long non-coding RNA, 1054 nt
Organism: Alnus glutinosa
Lineage: Eukaryota; Viridiplantae; Streptophyta; Magnoliopsida; Fagales; Betulaceae
Exons: 2
Source: RefSeq, a predicted model, not a curated record